GACGAACGCUGGCGGCGUGCUUAACACAUGCAAGUCGAACGGAAAGGCCCUGCUUUUGUGGGGUGCUCGAGUGGCGAACGGGGGAGUAACACGUGAGUAACCUCCCCUUGACUUUGGGAUAACUUCAGGAAACUGGGGCUAAUACCCGAUAUGAGCUCCUGCUGCAUGGUGGGGGUUGGAAAAAUUCGGCGGUGGGGGAUGGAUUCGCGGGUUAUCAGCUUCUUGGUGUGGUAGUUGCUUACCAAGCGUUUGACGGGUAGCCGGCCUGGGAGGGUUGCCGGCGACAUGGGGACUGCGGUACGGACCAGAAGCCAACGGGAGGCAGCAGUGGGGAAUAUUGCACAAUGGGGGGGAGCCUGAUGCAGAAACGCCGCGUGCGGGAUAACGGCCUUCGAGUUGUAAACCGCUGUGGCCUGUGACGAAGCGGGAGUGACGGUAAUGGGUAAAGAAGCACCGGCUAACUACGUG
This 468-nucleotide ribosomal RNA is filed under the name uncultured bacterium. RNAcentral's name for it is "partial 16S ribosomal RNA". It matches the Rfam family "Bacterial small subunit ribosomal RNA", at positions 28 to 507 of the family's 1533-position model. The record is from RNAcentral.